GACGAACGCUGGCGGCGUGCCUAAUACAUGCAAGUAGAACGCACAGUUUAUACCGUAGCUUGCUACACCAUAGACUGUGAGUUGCGGACGGGUGAGUAACGCGUAGGUAACCUGCCUGGUAGCGGGGGAUAACUAUUGGAAACGAUAGCUAAUACCGCAUAAUAUUAAUUAUUGCAUGAUAAUUAAUUGAAAGGUGCAAUUGCACCACUACCAGAUGGACCUGCGUUGUAUUGGCUAGUAGGUGAGGUAACGGCUCACCUAGGCGACGAUACAUAGCCGACCUGAGAGGGUGAUCGGCCACACUGGGACUGAGACACGGCCCAGACUCCUACGGGAGGCAGCAGUAGGGAAUCUUCGGCAAUGGACGAAAGUCUGACCGAGCAACGCCGCGUGAGUGAAGAAGGUUGUCGGAUCGUAAAGCUCUGUUGUAAGAGAAGAACGGGGGUGAGAGUGGAAAGUUCACACUGUGACGGUAUCUUACCAGAAAGGGACGGCUAACUACGUG
This 505-nucleotide ribosomal RNA is filed under the name uncultured bacterium. RNAcentral's name for it is "partial 16S ribosomal RNA". It matches the Rfam family "Bacterial small subunit ribosomal RNA", at positions 28 to 507 of the family's 1533-position model. The record is from RNAcentral.